Non-coding RNA from Potamilus streckersoni, 75 nucleotides. The record is from the annotation of a GenBank genome assembly. Lineage: Eukaryota; Metazoa; Mollusca; Bivalvia; Unionida; Unionidae.
GGUGGCCUAGUGGUCAGAGCGUUCGCCUCGGAUGCGGGAGGUCAUGGGUUGCCCGGUCAAGUCAUAUCAAAGACA